Molecule: long non-coding RNA, 364 nt
Organism: Danio aesculapii
Lineage: Eukaryota; Metazoa; Chordata; Actinopteri; Cypriniformes; Danionidae
Exons: 3
Source: RefSeq, a predicted model, not a curated record
CGGAGAGAGCUGAGCUUUGCAGUUUGAUGAUUAAUUGCGUUAAUUCCUCUCAUGUUACGGGUGUUGUUCGUCUAUUCAGAGCUCAAGUGAAGAGUUUACUGAAGGACAGCGAGAACAUGAGUGAUCCAGAACCCUGCAGAAUUAAACAUGAAGAUACUGAACAACAAAUAGACCUAAUUGAAGAAAAUGUGGUGAGUAAAGAGGAGGAACAUCAUAUCAAAGUUGAAGAAAAAAAUCAUUUACAGACUUACGGUAUUUUAAAAACGAGAGACAAGAGUCAUUUCACCUGCAGUCACUGUGGAAAGAGUUGUAGAGGAAAAGGCAAUCUUAAGAUUCACAUGAGGAUCCACACUGGAGAGAAACC